Molecule: ribosomal RNA, 463 nt
Filed under: uncultured bacterium
Lineage: Bacteria
Description: partial 16S ribosomal RNA
Rfam family: Bacterial small subunit ribosomal RNA
Source: RNAcentral
GAUGAACGCUGACAGAAUGCUUAACACAUGCAAGUCUUUGGCGAAGCUGUGCUCGCACAGCCCAGCCAAGGCGGACGGGUGAGUAACGCGUAAGGAACUUGCCCUGCAGUCAGGGAUAACAGACGGAAACGACUGAUAAGACCUGGUAAAGUCAGGCGGACUCAUGUCCAGCCUGAUGAAAAGAGAUGCUGCAGGAGAGCCUUGCGUCCUAUUAGCUUGUUGGUGGGGUAACGGCCCACCAAGGCGAUGAUAGGUAGCCGGCCUGAGAGGGUGGACGGCCACAAGGGGACUGAGAUACGGCCCUUACUCCUACGGGAGGCAGCAGUGGGGAAUAUUGGACAAUGGGGGCAACCCUGAUCCAGCAAUUCUGUGUGCACGAUGAAGGUUUUCGGAUUGUAAAGUGCUUUCAGCAGGGAAGAAAAAAAUGACGGUACCUGCAGAAGAAGCGACGGCUAAAUACGUG